GAUAAAUGUUGUGGCACUACUGCUAGCCGUGUAUCUUUUCAAAUGGGAUCACCAGUCAAUAGAGAGGAUAUAUUAAGUUUAUAUCAAGCCAAAAUUACAAGUUCUACAACACAUGUAACUUAAUUUUCAUAUGUGUACAAUCAUACAUGUAGCACUGAGCAUUCUUAAAAGUUGUAAAUGCAGUCCAAAUGCUGAGACAAGACAAUAUAUGCCACAGGAGAUUCCUAGUUCAUUUAGGUCAUUAGGG
Molecule: long non-coding RNA, 247 nt
Filed under: Bos taurus (domestic cattle)
Lineage: Eukaryota; Metazoa; Chordata; Mammalia; Artiodactyla; Bovidae
Description: long non-coding RNA NONBTAT011198
Source: RNAcentral